GCAGGUCGGAUAUCAUCUUAGAAGGAUGCAUUGCCUUUCUUGCCGAUGAGGGAUUGCUCGCCACAUCGAGGUGUUGCCAUGGUGCCGCUCUGUGCCGUGGACAGGGAGCCUGCGCGUCAUGAUCACUGACGAGCAAGUGAUCGAGGGGUCCGGAGCACAACAGGUUGAAGAUCCUGAGCAGGAGCUCGCUGAUGGCAAGUGAAGAGCAAGUGCCCCUGAGAAGGACUACUACGACGAGGUCGACAAGGUCUAGGUGUCGUCUCCCAGUCAACUUAAUGGCACCAAGGGAUAAUAAUAUUAGUUCGAUUUAUUUAUUAUAAUUUAUUUUGUAAGACAUUUUCGUUAUGUAAUAAAGUUUGUGACAUUCGUCUCUA
Zea mays is the source of this 374-nucleotide long non-coding RNA. RefSeq lists it as uncharacterized. The record is from RefSeq and is a predicted model, not a curated record. The transcript is spliced from 3 exons. Lineage: Eukaryota; Viridiplantae; Streptophyta; Magnoliopsida; Poales; Poaceae.